Small nucleolar RNA from Heterocephalus glaber (naked mole-rat), 80 nucleotides. Ensembl annotates it as small nucleolar RNA, C/D box 72. The record is from Ensembl. Lineage: Eukaryota; Metazoa; Chordata; Mammalia; Rodentia; Bathyergidae.
GGCUUAUCAGUGAUGUUGUGAAAAUAAAUGUCUGAACAUAUGACUGCAACAGUGAUUGUGGCGUUUAACUGAGAUAAGCU